AUGGCUGCAGAAUGCCCGAUGCAGUGGGGGUUAUAUCAUCUGACUCUGAAACUAGGCCUCAACCCACAGAGGUCAACCGGUCCGUUAAUUAGUCUUUCAGGCAUUGAGUCACACACAUGCAUGUUUGAAAGAAAAAGUCCAUUACAACUUGAAUGUUUCGUCACCAAAAUUCAAUCUGAUCCUUCCUCUCUCCCUUUUGUUCUAGGGGAAACAUGUUUUCCUCCUGAGCACUAUUUUGGGGUGAGCAAACGGACAGGGUGGAAGUUGGUGUCUACAGGGGUCCGGCGAUUUGUUUCUUUCAGGGAGGUAGGUGGUGAGCCGCCAGCAGGCCGCCGGUGGCCAGUGGCCCUGCACCCAGGUAAGGGACAAGCAUCGGGUCGCCUCCCAGCAGGAGUCUGCGCCCGGACUCGCCUCCCCAGCUGCGUGGCUCGGCCUGGGGCACCAGGCCAGGACGACGCGGGGACGGGGUGCUGGUGGGGCCGCGCGCGGUGUUGGGGUGCACUUGGGUGCACGAGAAUUGGGGGGCUGCCCCUGUGCAGUCGGGGCCACGCGCCCCAGGAGAGCCGCCUUUGCUCGAGAGCGGGGUCGCGCAGGGAAGUCCGCGGGUCUGGCCAGAAGCUUCUGUCCUAUGAAAGGCAGAAGGGGAGACGUCUGGCCCCUGGGGCGCCCGGGGCCGCGUGGCCUCGGGGUCGGGGCGCUCUCCCCGGGAGCGGGCCCCGCACCCUGGGAUGGAGCCUGGGGACAGGCCCCCGCGAGGGGCGGGCUCGCAGUGCCCGCUGCCCCCCGCCCCCCGCCGCUCCGGAUGCGCCCGGCGGGCCUGGCCCUGCCGCCCCCGCCCCACCCACCCCCAGCCCCAGGUCACGGCCCUGCACCACCCGGGGCUGCGCGUCCGCUUCCGCGAGCGAGCCGGGCGGUCGGGGCGGGAGCCGGGCAAUUGUUUCUCGCGGCGCCCCUCCAACCUCCAGCCUUCCAGCGCUUUCUGUUGGGCAGUCGAGGGGAGCCCGGGCAGACUUUUCCCGGGGCGCCGCAGCCCCGAGGGGGAGGCCGGAGCCCCGGAGUCCCGGCCCCUCCCUGCGCCCUCGUCCCCGCGGGGCCAGCCUCCGUGCACCAGCUCGAGCCACUGAUGCUGACCUGCCCACUCGGGCUGCCCCUCCCUGCGCGAGCCCGCCUCGGCCUUGGGGCUCAGCCCGCGGGAGGGACACGGUGCAGGUUGGUGAGGCGACGAGGCUUCCGUCCCCGCGACCCAGGUCGGCGCCCCGGCCGCCCCCGCCCCCGCCGAAACGUGGGAGUUGCACGGAGGUGGUUUGGAGACCGAGAAGAACCGAAUUUCCUGGGUUGCUGCUGCCCGCGACGAUGACGGCGAAGGUGACGACAUUUUUGAACUAA
Molecule: long non-coding RNA, 1386 nt
Filed under: Canis lupus dingo (dingo)
Lineage: Eukaryota; Metazoa; Chordata; Mammalia; Carnivora; Canidae
Description: lncRNA (ENSCAFG00020002835.1)
Source: RNAcentral